GGAGUUUUAGCUCAGUGGUAGAGCUCUUGCCUCACAUGCAUGAGGCCCUGGGUUCGAUUCUCAACACCA
RNAcentral lists this transfer RNA (69 nucleotides) under Ictidomys tridecemlineatus (thirteen-lined ground squirrel). RNAcentral's name for it is "Spermophilus tridecemlineatus (thirteen-lined ground squirrel) tRNA". It matches the Rfam family "tRNA". From Rfam's summary of the family: Transfer RNA (tRNA) molecules are approximately 80 nucleotides in length. Their secondary structure includes four short double-helical elements and three loops (D, anti-codon, and T loops). Lineage: Eukaryota; Metazoa; Chordata; Mammalia; Rodentia; Sciuridae. The record is from Rfam by way of RNAcentral.